This 449-nucleotide ribosomal RNA is filed under the name uncultured bacterium. RNAcentral describes it as "partial 16S ribosomal RNA". It matches the Rfam family "Bacterial small subunit ribosomal RNA", at positions 29 to 523 of the family's 1533-position model. The record is from RNAcentral.
AACGAACGCUGGCGGCAGGCUUAACACAUGCAAGUCGAACGCCCUAGCAAUAGGGAGUGGCAGACGGGUGAGUAACACGUGGGAACCUUCCCUAUAGUACGGAAUAGCCCAGGGAAACUUGGAGUGAUACCGUAUACGCCCGAGAGGGGAAAGAUUUAUCGCUAUAGGAUGGGCCCGCGACGGAUUAGCUAGUUGGUGAGGUAAUGGCUCACCAAGGCAACGAUCCGUAGCUGGUUUGAGAGAAUGACCAGCCACACUGGGACUGAGACACGGCCCAGACUCCUACGGGAGGCAGCAGUGGGGAAUCUUGGACAAUGGGCGCAAGCCUGAUCCAGCCAUGCCGCGUGAGUGAUGAAGGCCUUAGGGUUGUAAAGCUCUUUUGUCGGGGACGAUAAUGACGGUACCCGAAGAAUAAGCUCCGGCUAACUUCGUGCCAGCAGCCGCAGUAA